GAUGAACGCUGGCGGCGUGCCUAAUACAUGCAAGUCGAGCGAACAGACGAGGAGCUUGCUCCUCUGACGUUAGCGGCGGACGGGUGAGUAACACGUGGAUAACCUACCUAUAAGACUGGGAUAACUUCGGGAAACCGGAGCUAAUACCGGAUAAUAUAUUGAACCGCAUGGUUCAAUAGUGAAAGACGGUUUUGCUGUUACUUAUAGAUGGAUCCGCGCCGCAUUAGCUAGUUGGUAAGGUAACGGCUUACCAAGGCGACGAUGCGUAGCUGACCUGAGAGGGUGAUCAGCCACACUGGAACUGAGACACGGUCCAGACUCCUACGGGAGGCAGCAGUAGGGAAUAUUCGACAAUGGGCGAAAGCCUGACGGAGCAACGCCGCGUGAGUGAUGAAGGUCUUCGGAUCGUAAAACUCUGUUAUUGGGGAAGAAAAGAUGUGGAAGUAACUAUGGACGUCUUGACGGUACCUAAUCAGAAAGCAACGGCUAACUACGUG
RNAcentral lists this ribosomal RNA (497 nucleotides) under uncultured bacterium. RNAcentral describes it as "partial 16S ribosomal RNA". It matches the Rfam family "Bacterial small subunit ribosomal RNA", at positions 28 to 507 of the family's 1533-position model. The record is from RNAcentral.